RNA transcript from Varroa destructor (honeybee mite), 6508 nucleotides. RefSeq lists it as uncharacterized. NCBI's taxonomy places the organism in Eukaryota, Metazoa, Arthropoda, Arachnida, Mesostigmata, Varroidae. The record is from RefSeq and is a predicted model, not a curated record.
CGAGAGGAGCGACUCGCGAUAGUAGCGUUAGUGGUAUACGGCGAGCUAUCGACAGUUCUAUGGUGACGGGCGCAAAUACUCCACGACUGCCCAGUAUGUCAGAUACUUGGUGUAGUGGUGUCGAGCGGCGCAGUUCGUCAUCUGAUACGCGGGCGGCAGCAGAUCGGACGUUAAACAUAUCCGAGGUUCGUGAGCGAUGUCCUACCAUGUCUGCAGAGCUAAUUUCAGCAGAUUCAGAGUUCCCUGCGCGCGCAGGCCAUGUAGUACAGCGACGCACCAGUGUACCACCAGCGGUUCUGGCGGAAAAUAUCUGCGACACGAUAGGACAACAGGCGAUGAAAUGUACGUCAGGUCGCGCGAUCCUCGGAAGAGGCGGAUCUGCCAUCGCGGCAAAUUCUUUUGUCGGUAAUCCCCCUUUCAUUGAAAACUCCGAUGUUCAUAAUACGAGUUUAUCCACUGCUGGAGGCCUUUACAACGGAAGCGAUAUCUGUAUACGACAGCGCAUAGGACGUUUGGGUAGUCCGAAAACCCCAACGCCGCAUCCACUAAUACAGCAGUCCUCGCUAUUCCCCAUCAAGCAUGUUCAUCACUCACCAUUGCAUUCUGCCCAACGGCGCUGGUCUUCUGGAGACUCUCGUGUGGAACACGAAACAAACCUAAGCUCCGUUCGUGAGGCGACUCCAUAUUUUGGAGUUCCCACUGGUAUUUCGGGAUUAUCUAACGCGCCCCUGGCGUCCAGUCCUUUUGCAUACGGGACUGGAAGCUGGGAUGGGGUAAGUCGACCUUUCACGGUAACGUCGUCAUCUUCAGCGAUACCAAAAACAAGCUGUACAGUUCGGCCUACUGGGCCUGUAUAUUUACCUCAUUGGCGCGAUGGACUUAGCGUUCUUCCUCCUCAGAAUAAGAGCCCCAACCAACGGGACCUGCGAAGUUCACACAUCAAUCAACGCCAACGUGAGGUCCCGGGACAAUUCGCUAGCGGUAAUGGGCUGCUAGCCGCAAACGAGCGCCGUUCUUUAUCAACUGACGAGGCGCACAUGCUCUACCAGGUGGCGCUAGGAUCAAGGGACCUCAUCGACCGAAGCGUGGAACCACACAUGUUGCGACCUCUCCCGGCAGAAUUGUUUCACAGGAACCGAGAUGUCCAGUAGCAAUACUUAACGUGGAACCUCGACGCACAUGGCAUGCAACUCGUCACGAAAAUGAAGUAAUUUACAAAAAGGAAGGUGAAGAAACAGUACAUUACACUCAGGCACGUAUUGAAACGGCUACAUAUUUUGCAUUAUUGAUCCAGCGGCAGCACGAAUUCAGUUUACACAAGGACACAAUAAGCUGCUUAGGUUCUAAGAGCAGAGAUUACCAGAUGAAACAAAAGGUUCACCGACUAUCUCAAUACCACCCAACGCGGCUGGUGAGAUACGCUUCUUCAUUUUAAGGCUAGAGGUCUACCCAGACGGCUGCCAUCCUUCGACACACGGAAGAAGCUUGCAAGUCCUUCAACUUGGUCUAUGAGUCCACUCAGCGUCCUAAGUAUUUCCUACGGACAAGGCCUUACUCGGAUAAAGGCGAGCUUGCAUGGACUGGGAAUUAGGGUCUUCUUGUUUUUUUAGAAAGGCCCUAAACUCCACAGGGGGAUCAAUGUCUCAUGUUGCCAACUAAAAGCGUGCUGCUGCCUAAAUAUCUACUUUGUUUAGCCCUUCAGAGGGCGUGAGCGAAUGAGGAGGCAUAUUCAAGUCGACGCCAACGCUGAUUGCAGAGAAUUCGAACAUCGAGUACCGUCUUCCACGAUCUGCAGAUGGACAGGCGAACAGUGAGGAAGAAAACCCGAUCGCAAUAAAUGAGUAAAUGCUGAAUAAUUGAAACACGAAGUGUGAUAGACGUGAGACUAGGCAAAGGAAGGGAACCACGGGUGUAUAGAUAUGAAGAACAAGCAAACUGAAGAUAAAGAAGUACAGAAAAUUCUCCACAGGCAACUAAUUUACAUAUGUUUAUCCACUUCCUGAUCUUGAAAAUUGUAGCCAAACUUGGGUUCUUUCAGUAGUUUUAUAUGUUCAAUCAUGAACGCUUUUAUGUCCAAUACUUCUUGCACGAACUGCUAAUCCUAAUAGGAUGCUGGAAUUAUUGGUGUUUAAGAAAACUGCCUGGGAAAAAGCUGCAGAAAUGGUUCUAUCAUGCACGAAAGCAUUGCUAUUAAAAUUUUACAGCCGCUGUUGCCAUUAAGCAUUGCUUCAGACGUCUUCAAGCACAGAGCAAAACAUGGCUAUGCCCGGUUUAAUCGAUCUGCAUUCAGUAGGUAAAUACGUUACCCUUUCAACUAUUAUGUAGGCAUAACGUAGGUUUUAGGUAGUAGCAAAAGGUAAAGCUAAGAUUCAAUUCUUUGUUUUUCCAAAAUUCUCUUAUUAAAUUUAUUUGUAUUGGCGACAAAGUAGGGUAACAACACAGUUCAGAGAACACUCCGCACAAGUACUAACUAUAAGCGUACAAUUAUUGUCUUAUGGGUACGAUUACUUGCUUAUAUUUUCUGAGCAAAAGAAAAUGUUAUAUAACUUCGGGAAUAUAAAAUCUGUAAACGUGAUGGUCGCUGGCGAGCGUAGAAUAGUACCUAUAUCGUUAAGGUUAGAAAAGUACCAACACCGGCCUCACGCGACCAAGGCUAUAAUCCGCCAAACCAAGUUUAUGGAAACAUUAUGGAUCUUGAAAGCGUUUCUGUGUCCUCUUAAUGUGGGUCAAUAAACUUAAGCAGCGAACACUGCGCACUGGUAGUAUAUUACCAGUACACGGCACGGCAAUCGGGAGCUGUUCAUCAGCUAACGCAUUGGUUCUGAACGUGCAGCCCCAGGCAACAAAUGUCCUUCCGGAAGCCUUUUAGCUAGAUCCCUUUAAGCUGGCGCCGCAUAUAUUAUCUUUGAAUGAUUGCCAUUCGAAGUGUAUUAGCUAUCGCGACAUUAUUUAUAUAUAAUGUCCUUUAAGAAAUUUCACAUAUUGUCGAGUUUAUCGAAGAUAUUUUCGCAGUCAAACACAAUACCUGCUUACGGUUUUCGCAUGCGAAGGCCGUGUCUUUCUGCUUCUAAUCAUAGCACAUGCUGCAAUCAUUGCCGCAACUCGGUUUAGAAUGUACCAAAUGCACUUUUAUACCACCUCUGUCAUGCUCGGAUCCUGGGAACUCAUUUGGGGCAUUGUAUCCUUGAGUUGUAAGAUGUUCAUGGUCCCCUGUCCCGCCCUGAUUUACCCUUCAACAUAAUGCCACAAAAUUUCGAUUGGAUUUAAGUCGGAUGAAGCCAAACGUCAGCACCAUUAGCGAUAAAUAUGCCAGACACACCUUUCAUAUGAUACAGUGUCUUAUUGUUAUGCGUGAAUGCAUAGCUCUCACUUUGAUAUCAUUUUCGUAUUUAGGGCAGAAUUUUUCUUCUAAAUUACCCAUUAUGUUGUUUUGUUCGAACGUUUGACCUGUUGAAUCUCACUGGACUGGUGGAAUCUUUUGACGAACUGUUCGUCGACCCACGUUAUUGCUAGUUUUUAUCCGGGUUCGGAAAAAAAACUAAGGAAAACUUGGAUAUGGCACACUGUAGGACCCUAAAAACUAUGUACAUUUGUAUAUAAAGCACGCCGUCCUAAGGUUUUGUCUGCGGUUUAUAUAUAUAUAUAUAUAUAUAUAGUACCGACUUAUUAUUAUAAAUCACAAUUUUAGCCAGGGGCUCUAUCAAGCUUCUUGUUCAAAUAAAUACUUCGGAAUCGAACGAUAUGCCCAGCUAUAUUCCGACAAGCCCGGGUACAUGCCAAAGCCCAACUGCCGAAGUGAAUUUACAUGAAAUAAUAUGUAUGAUAAUAGUAUGGCCAACGUAAAAAUACUCUAUAACACUACGAUGAAAAUUAUAUAGAUAAAACGAAAAACGUUGGGCCUAUAUUGAAACGUCUACGAAGACGUGAUGAACUAUAGUAGAUAUAAUGGGUAGAUGAUACGCUAUUGCAUUGUUGUCGCUAUUGCACUUGGUCACCUGAUAUAUUAUUAGAUAGCGCUUAAACGUCUUUCAGAGGUAUCUGAGGAAUAAGCUAAUUCGGUGGUAAAACCGGAUGUUUUAAGGGAACUCCUGCUGGUAGAUAUCGACCGUAGUUGGACUGAGCGCCAGGUUAAAUCAACAUCGGUGCGGAUUUUUCGCUUGUAAUCCUUCGGAUCAAAACUUCUUAAUCCAGCUAAAUGUAAAUCGUAUUUCAUUGAGCUGAACUCAUAAGAAGAACCCUAGUUACUUCGGUGGGAAUAUACAGACAUUUCUUUCACUUCAUAUAUUUUACAUUUGGUCGUUUAAUCAGAAAAGUCAUAAACGCUAUUUUUUUUUUAUUUCAAGAUAAUGCUGUUCUAUAACAAUGCGACACUCCAUGAUGUUUCUCUUCGUGCUCGAGGUGCACUCGUACCUUCAAAAAUUUGAGACCGGGUACUCAGUUAUCGUCAUUCAGAUUUACAGCAGAUAAGGCAAGAAAAGUCGGGAGUCGGAGCACCCAACGACUAUCGAGUUCCAUUUUGAAAGUACAGUGAUAUAAACAGCUUGCCAUAUAAACCUUGUAUUCAAUUGAGGUGCUACUACUAGACACAUGAAAAAAUCAGGAAGAAAAUUCUGAACUUAAAACAAAUGUUCUGGAAAGGUGAACAAUGACGGGUAAUUGCGAUUUACAACGGAAGUCAACUUAUCCUAAAGUGCACUGGCGCGUUAAUGUGUUUUUGCUUGGUGGCACUUAGGGCUAGUGUUAAUAUCAUAACUGUUUACCUCGAUCAACAUAGUAAAAAAAUUGACUAACGGGUGUCGCAUGAUUUGAGCAAAGAUCACAAAUAAACUCGUACUUCCUUUCUCUCAUCCUAAGGCAAAUUUGAUGGAGCUUCGUGAGUUCUAAUUGCUGGAAAAGCUCUGUGGCAAGCGGCCAAGACAAUGAAUAGAGCUACACGACUCUAAUUGACCGAUACCGCUUAACUUCAGAGCGCAAGAAUCACGAUGACAAAAACCUGUCAUCUACCUUACUCGCCAGACGUUACAACUUUUCGCCUUGCCAGUUUCCUUAGGCAAAAUAGUAGCCGGCACGCCCUUCCUCUUUUGCCCUAGCCUCAAUUUUUUGACGGGCGUUCUCCUAGUGAUACUGAGAAAUACAAUUUACUUAUUCGGAAUAUUGCUAAUAUCGAUCUAAGCUUGUAUUCUCCUGCCCAAAAGGUUUCUACUCUCGUGUUACCAUUAUUUAAUACUAUUAAUAACGAGAUGGAAAUCUCUACUGUCGAUAUGUUCCUUCAUUUGGAAGUAUCCUCAGCUGAACAUUAUUAGCUAUAAUAAUUCAUACCAAAUCUCGUACUGGUUUUACUAGGCUAGCCAUAAAACAGUUUAAUGCCCAGAAUAUUAAGGUCUGGUUUUCUAUCCGAUUGCCGACUACAAGCCCUGUAGAAUCUUGCAGGCACAAUGGCACCAUAAGAGGGUACAAGAUGAUUAGUAUUUCAGUAGAGGUAGAGUAUCAUGUUCCGCUGUAGUUGGCGAGCUAUAAAGGCGGACAGUCCGUUUGGCCCAUGGGCCAUAUAUCGUUCUUCGGUGCAGUACUGGUAAUAACGAACUGAGCAGAUAUUGAACUUCACCUGCGUGAAGUUCAGUAUCUGCUUAGCGAGCUUCAAGUCAACUCUUCAAAUGAUCUGUUUUUUUUUUUUCCUAUAAUAACGAGACGCCUCUCGUCGAUAGCGAAUAUUGAUUGUCCAUAGAAAUCCUACUUUUUUUUUUUCAGUUAGAAACCCACUUCAUCGAUCACAUUUUCAUAAUUUUAUUGCAAAAAUCAAUGAAAAAAAUACUUAAGCUGCUAUCAAAUACAAAAAUCGGCUCCGUUUGUUAGCACAAGUUAAUUUUUAUCAUUUAUCGUUCUAUUUUAUUAUUUACAGUAAUGUACAUCAUCUUCAAUGGCGACACCGAUUCGCUUUGUCCUUUUCAUCAUCAUUUAUCACAUUACAACAUUGUUUACAAGAUUUCUUCAUCUAACACCUCCUCGUUUAUUGUCAGAUACGUUUCGGAAAUGCCAGCAAAAAUUGUUGUCGACCGCCAGCAGUUUUUUUUUGUCGCUUUGUUAUUAUCGUGUCCAUUAUUGGUUUUCCUUAGUAGCAGCGUGUAGUGUUUCUACUAUAUCUAGCUUAGCUUUCUCCCAUGUGCCUCCCGCACCCCCUUUCUCCCUGCCUAUCCUUUCCGGUCAACCUGACCAGAAAAACGUCCAACAAUGAUAUACAUAUAUCGGUUCUACAUAUGCAGGAAUAAUUCCGACAGACGUAAGUUACUCGAUUAUAAUAUUAGUUACACGUUCAAUAGUCAGAUAUAAUAAUAGUACUAAUAGUCAUAAUCACCAUCGGCACCGUUCUAAUAGGCGUCUUCGUCAGCAUAACUAUCCAUCGUAAUUAACGACACGUUGGCGUGAAGGGUGAGUUUUUCAUUUGUCUGUGUUUUUUUUUUUAUCUCACUUUCUUCUUCUAUCUGAAGCGAAGCUCUUUUUUUUAUUUGGG